Molecule: long non-coding RNA, 433 nt
Filed under: Mytilus galloprovincialis (Mediterranean mussel)
Lineage: Eukaryota; Metazoa; Mollusca; Bivalvia; Mytilida; Mytilidae
Source: RNAcentral
AUUUUAUAGAUUCUUGUACAACACAGCUUGACCUCCAAAACUGUGUCUCAGAUUUCCAAAAACAUCAAUAGAACAAAUUUUAUACCCAAUUGAAUUUUGUGGUCUAUAAUGAAUUGAUGUUGCCAACUUCAUUGAGGAUUUAUGAGAGAAUGAAAUUCAAUAGGAAAAAUCUGAGACACAGUUUUGGAGGUAAAACUGUGUUGUGCAAGAAUCUAUAAUUCUUUUAGGAUGCUAUGAAGAACAAAGAAGCUAAAUUCAUUCAAGUAUGGACAUCACAGAAUGGCAACUAAUUACAUAACAAUUUAUUAUGUAAUAAUUAUGUCAUAAUGAAAUUAUCACAAUUAGAAAGAUUAAUCCUUCUUCUUUCUUUUGGUACCUCAUUUAUAAAAUUUAAAGAAAGAUGAGUGGAAUUACAUCAGUUUAAAGAUGUCGG